UACCCAACUAGAAGGAUCCUUUCUCAGCCUUGUGCUUCUUCUCAAUACAGGUUGUUCUUGUUCUUGAACCGGCUCAGUUUGUGUACUUGGUUCUUGAACUUCACUCUGAUGUUCUUCAUCUUCUUGGCUUUGCUCACCUUGAUGAUGAGAACCUGAGUUGAGCUCUUCUCCUUCUUCACUCAAGCCGACUCCUUCUUGGCCAUUUUCUUGAGUUUCAGGUUCACUUUG
RNAcentral lists this long non-coding RNA (228 nucleotides) under Brassica napus (rape). RNAcentral describes it as "long non-coding RNA (BNAP_LNC006258)". The record is from RNAcentral. Lineage: Eukaryota; Viridiplantae; Streptophyta; Magnoliopsida; Brassicales; Brassicaceae.